RNAcentral lists this ribosomal RNA (253 nucleotides) under uncultured bacterium. RNAcentral's name for it is "partial 16S ribosomal RNA". It matches the Rfam family "Bacterial small subunit ribosomal RNA", at positions 524 to 776 of the family's 1533-position model. The record is from RNAcentral.
UACGUAGGGUGCAAGCGUUGUCCGGAAUUAUUGGGCGUAAAGAGCUCGUAGGCGGUCUGGCGCGUCUGCUGUGAAAUCCCGGGGCUUAACCCCGGGCGUGCAGUGGAUACGGGCUGGCUGGAGGCAGGCAGGGGAGAGUGGAAUUCCCGGUGUAGCGGUGAAAUGCGCAGAUAUCGGGAGGAACACCGGUGGCGAAGGCGGUUCUCUGGGCCUGUGCUGACGCUGAGGAGCGAAAGCGUGGGGAGCGAACAGG